CCUACGGGGGGCAGCAGUGGGGGAUAUUGCACAAUGGGGGAAACCCUGAUGCAGCGACGCCGCGUGAGCGAUGAAGUAUUUCGGUAUGUAAAGCUCUAUCAGCAGGGAAGAAAAUGACGGUACCUGACUAAGAAGCCCCGGCUAACUACGUGCCAGCAGCCGCGGUAAUACGUAGGGGGCAAGCGUUGUCCGGAUUUACUGGGUGUAAAGGGAGCGUAGACGGCAGUGCAAGUCUGAAGUGAAAGGCAAGGGCUCAACCUUUGGACUGCUUUGGAAACUGUGCUGCUAGAGUGUCGGAGAGGCAA
Molecule: ribosomal RNA, 305 nt
Filed under: uncultured bacterium
Lineage: Bacteria
Description: bacterial SSU rRNA
Rfam family: Bacterial small subunit ribosomal RNA
Source: RNAcentral